This 74-nucleotide transfer RNA is filed under the name Funneliformis mosseae. RNAcentral describes it as "tRNA-Ile". It matches the Rfam family "tRNA". Rfam says of the family: Transfer RNA (tRNA) molecules are approximately 80 nucleotides in length. Their secondary structure includes four short double-helical elements and three loops (D, anti-codon, and T loops). The record is from RNAcentral. Lineage: Eukaryota; Fungi; Glomeromycota; Glomeromycetes; Glomerales; Glomeraceae. RNAcentral also lists the same sequence under 1 other name.
AGGGUCAUAGCUCAGUCGGUUAGAGUGCUGUGUUGAUAACGCAGUGGUUAUGGGUUCGAAUCCCAUUGGCCCUA